This 26-nucleotide non-coding RNA is filed under the name Homo sapiens (human). The record is from RNAcentral. Lineage: Eukaryota; Metazoa; Chordata; Mammalia; Primates; Hominidae.
UGAGAAUGGUAUCUGGGUGUUAUGGA